Molecule: microRNA precursor, 102 nt
Filed under: Pelobates cultripes (western spadefoot toad)
Lineage: Eukaryota; Metazoa; Chordata; Amphibia; Anura; Pelobatidae
Source: RNAcentral
CACACUGUCUGUAUGUGUGUGUGUGUCUGUAUGUGUGUGUCUGUAUGAUAAACACAGACACACAUACAGGCACAUACAUACAGACACACACAUACACAAAAU